AUCGCUUCUCGGCUCUCUGAGCUAAGAUCAUGUGUAGUAUCUGUUCUUUGCAGUGUAAUUUCUUCAACGGUCUCUAAACGGAGACCAAUGGAAUUGCCUGUAUUUUUCACCUCCGGACGGGUGCUGCGAGCUUGUUUAACCCCGUCCACGUCAGUCAGUCAGUCAGUAACAACGUAG
This 177-nucleotide small nuclear RNA is filed under the name Schistosoma mattheei. RNAcentral's name for it is "U2 spliceosomal RNA". It matches the Rfam family "U2 spliceosomal RNA". Rfam says of the family: U2 is a small nuclear RNA (snRNA) component of the spliceosome (involved in pre-mRNA splicing). Complementary binding between U2 snRNA (in an area lying towards the 5' end but 3' to hairpin I) and the branchpoint sequence (BPS) of the intron results the bulging out of an unpaired adenosine, on the BPS, which initiates a nucleophilic attack at the intronic 5' splice site, thus starting the first of two transesterification reactions that mediate splicing. Lineage: Eukaryota; Metazoa; Platyhelminthes; Trematoda; Strigeidida; Schistosomatidae. The record is from Rfam by way of RNAcentral.